CGGCCAUGUAAAAUCACAAGUGCUUGUAUUUGUAAUAAUAAAGUCGCAGCUGUUGCUGUCCAUCAUGGCUCUGAAGAACUUGAGACUCCUCCUUGCACACAGUUUUUGCCUGACCACUCCGGCUUUGCCUGAAACUUCCAGAAAGGAUCAUCAGAACAAUGAAGUAUCGGCGCAUAUUUCCGGUGGAAUCCUUGACUAAGGUGGAAAAUCCAUGGAAGGGCAUCACUCUGAACCGCUGUAUAUUAGUGGCCAUGGUCGUUGUGGUGGUCAGCUCAACGGUUGAGAUAGUACAAGAGACAAUAGAGCCAUACUUUGAAGCACCAGAAGAAGAACCUGGAUCAGAGCUUCAGGCUGGUGAAGCAGAGUCUGAUUCAUGGUGGGACACCUUUGCAUUUUGGAACUGGGGAUCUGAGGAUGAACUGGAAGAGUUUAAAAAGAAAAGAGCAGCAAGGCCUAAGCAGGAUGGAGAGAAGGUUGGACCACGGAAGAUCCGUAACAAAGAAAUGGCUAAAGGAUUUCUCAAGGAGAGGGAAUAGUCUGGGAGGGAAUAUUCCUAAAACAGUUAUAAAGAUGAAAUAAAUAAAUAUUAUAUAUAAGUAUACAC
RNAcentral lists this long non-coding RNA (604 nucleotides) under Sinocyclocheilus grahami. RNAcentral describes it as "lncRNA (ENSSGRG00000000080.1)". Lineage: Eukaryota; Metazoa; Chordata; Actinopteri; Cypriniformes; Cyprinidae. The record is from RNAcentral.